CGAAUAUGUUGUUGAUCUUCCAGUGAUUGCUAUUCAUCCGUUGCCGUCGGAAGCUGAGACUGACUCUGCGGUUGGCACUUACGAUAGACAAUCGAUCGGCAGCUCGAUUUUGUCUGACAGGUCGUCUGUCUGGUCUACUGGUAGUUCUGCUCUGUCGGGUGAGACGACUACUACUGCUACAGGACAUGAACGAGCAAGGGCCCCUAGGCAGUUGACGCGUAUUCCAUCUUUGACCAAGAGCAAACCUACCAGACAUGUGAACUUAGGAAGAGCAAGAGCUCUUGCUGACCUUGGACUGCAAAUUGAGCCUGCCUACCAUAUUACUAAUGUUAUAGUGGGGCAUUCACAUGAACUGCAACCUGGAGUCAGAAUUAUGGAG
Corticium candelabrum is the source of this 379-nucleotide long non-coding RNA. RefSeq lists it as uncharacterized. The record is from RefSeq and is a predicted model, not a curated record. The transcript is spliced from 3 exons. Lineage: Eukaryota; Metazoa; Porifera; Homoscleromorpha; Homosclerophorida; Plakinidae.